Molecule: long non-coding RNA, 2019 nt
Filed under: Cucumis sativus (cucumber)
Lineage: Eukaryota; Viridiplantae; Streptophyta; Magnoliopsida; Cucurbitales; Cucurbitaceae
Description: long non-coding RNA (CSAT_LNC000826)
Source: RNAcentral
CUAUCUCUAAAACUUUAUCUUUUGGUUUCCUUUUGCUGGUGAGUUUGGGCUUAGCUUCGGCGGCCCGAUCUCUUCUUUCUUACGAUAUUCCUCCUCAUCGAUCUGGAUACGAUAAUUAUGAUCAUCCUGUAGUUAACCCUAAAGUAGGAUACGAACAUGACCGUCGUGAUGGAUACUACCAUGACCGUGACCAUCAUGAUGCACCUUAUGGUGGUGGUGCUGGUGGAGGAUAUGGAGCUGGAGCUGGAGCUGGCUCAUCUCUUGGAGGCUCUGGAUAUGGAAGUGGAGGAGGUGGUGGUUCUGGAUAUGGAGGUGUAGGAAACCACGAGGUUGGUUAUGGUAGUGGUGGAGGGGGUGGAUAUGGAGCUGGAGUUGGCUCUGACCUUGGUGGUAGCGGAUACGGAAGCGGUGGUGGUGGAGGCAGUGGAGGAGGAUACGGUGAUUUAGGAGGACGUGGAAAAGGGUACGGUAGCGGUGGAGGUGGAGGAAGUGGAUAUGGAGGUAGAGGAGACCAUGGAGUUGGUUAUGGAAGUGGUGGAGGUGGAGGAUAUGGAAGUGGAGUAGGUGGUGGUGCAGGAGUGGUAGACCAUGGUGUAGGUUAUGGGAGUGGAGGAGGAGGUGGGGCUGGUAGUGGUUAUGGUGGUUCCAAAGGAUAUGGAGGUGGAAGCGGCGGCGGUGGGGGAGCCGGUUAUGGUGGUGGAGCACAUGGAAGUGGAUAUGGAAGUGGUGGUGGAGCUGGAAGUGGUGAAGAAGGAGGAUAUGAUGGUGGAUAUGCACCGUAAACAAAGAAAAGAAAAGAAAAAGCUCAAAGUUUUAUGGCUAAAAUGAGAAUGCUUACCCUAAUAUCAUCAAUGUGUGUGUGUGUUAGCAAAAAAAAAAAAUAAAAGAAUUUGGGUAAGAAAUGUUAUAUUAAUUAUCUUUGAGCUUUUAAGUAAUUUGAAUGUAAUAUAAUAUAUAUAUAAAAAAAGCUAAUCCAUGUGUUCCAAAGUGAACCAACAUGAAGUAUAUUUUCUCCCUUUGUCAUCAUGAUCAUCUUAAACUUGUGGUUAUUAUGUGGGCUCUCAUUAUUAUUCCAAGAUAGCAACGUCGGGAUAUUCAAAUAUUUUUCAUAUGUAAUGUCUUAAGACUAAAUCACUAUGAUCUAUAUGCUUUAAUUAAGUUCAAAACUAUUUUGGAAGCAUUAUGAUUAAUAUAUUGAUUACUUAAAUACUAUUAUAUGGUUUUCAAGGUAACUUGAUGUUGUUAAUAAAAGAAAUCUUUAAUAUUUAAUCAGUCCUUUCUCUUAAAAUUUAGUAAAAAUAAAUACUAAAAUGGUAUGAUGUUUUAUGGUUGGAUUUGGGGUAUGUGUUUUGGCUUGUCCCUCUAGUUGUGACUUGUUCAAAAUAAGUGUACAAUCAAAUUCACUUGGGUUAUUAAAGACAAUUGAUAAACAAAAAUUGCCAAAACGAUAGAGCAUAACUAUUUAAUCGGUAUAAAACUUGUACAAUCCAUUAAUCAUAAUAUACUUUUUCUAAUUGAUCUCUAAUUGAUCGUACAUACUAGUUAGUGUCGAUAAAAAACUCAAUUUGACGUAUAAAUAUUUGUUUGUUGUAAAUGAACAUCUAAGUAUAUUCUUGAUUAAUUAUUCUUAUACUAAGAGUAACAUUGACCCCUCUAUUCUUUAGUAUUUGGUUAAAAGAAUAAAAAAUUAGUAAGUGAUGAAUCUUAGUGUGCUAUAGGUUGAUCAACCAAUUAAAAUUAGUCGUUUCAAGCAAUACUUUCGAAAAAAUUCAUUAAAUAGGAGUUAUUUAAACUAUCAACCCUGAGUUUUUAUACAUUACAAUAAAUUUAAUCUUUGAUGUCGGUCAAAAACUAAUAUAUAGGAGUACAAUAUAGAUCACCAGAUCGAUAUGGAAGACAAUGUUAUGGAAGAUGUUCAAUGUUAAUCACUUUUAUGUUCGUUUUGGUCUUGGCAUUAUAAAUAAUUUAAAUGGUAGUUUUUGCUCACACUACAAAUGUGUUAGACUAUUAGUCAUCAAA